RNAcentral lists this unclassified non-coding RNA (365 nucleotides) under soil metagenome. RNAcentral describes it as "partial contains 5.8S ribosomal RNA, internal transcribed spacer 2, and large subunit ribosomal RNA". The stretch from base 1 to 120 matches the Rfam family "5.8S ribosomal RNA", at positions 35 to 154 of the family's 154-position model. The record is from RNAcentral.
GAUGAAGAACGUAGCGAAAUGCGAUAAGUAACGUGAAUUGCAGAAUUCAGUGAACCAUCGAAUCUUUGAACGCACAUUGCGCCCGCCAGUAUUCUGGCGGGCAUGCCUGUCCGAGCGUCAUCUCAACCCUCGAGCCCCCCCGGGGGCUCGGCGUUGGGGACCGGCCCCGCCCCAGGGCGCGCCGCCCCCCAAAUCCAGUGGCGGUCCCGCCGCAGCCUCCCCUGCGCAGUAGCUUGCACACUCGCACCGGAGAGCGGCGCGGCCACGCCGUAAAACCCCCCGACCACGGAGCCCCGGCUCCUGAACGUUGACCUCGGAUCAGGUAGGAAUACCCGCUGAACUUAAGCAUAUCAAUAAGCGGAGGA